UACGGGGGGGGCAAGCGUUGUUCGGAAUUACUGGGCGUAAAGGGCGCGUAGGCGGCCUUCUAAGUCGGACGUGAAAUCCCUCGGCUUAACCGAGGAACUGCGUCCGAUACUGAAAGGCUUGAAUCCGGGAGAGGGAUGUGGAAUUCCAGGUGUAGAGGUGAAAUUCGUAGAUAUUCGCAAGAACACCAGUGGCGAAGGCGGCUCACUGGCCCGAUACUGACGCUGAGGCACGAAAGCGUGGGGAGCAAACAGGG
This 254-nucleotide ribosomal RNA is filed under the name uncultured bacterium. RNAcentral describes it as "partial 16S ribosomal RNA". It matches the Rfam family "Bacterial small subunit ribosomal RNA", at positions 524 to 777 of the family's 1533-position model. The record is from RNAcentral.